GCCAGCAUAGCACAGUGGUUUGAGUGUUGGACCACGACUCUGAAGACCAGGGUUCAAUUCCCUGUUCAGGCA
This is a non-coding RNA of Phrynosoma platyrhinos (Desert horned lizard), 72 nucleotides long. NCBI's taxonomy places the organism in Eukaryota, Metazoa, Chordata, Lepidosauria, Squamata, Phrynosomatidae. The record is from the annotation of a GenBank genome assembly.